GACUCGUCACACUAUCAUUAACUGAAUCCAUAGGUUAAUGAGGCGAACCGGGGGAACUGAAACAUCUAAGUACCCCGAGGAAAAGAAAUCAACCGAGAUUCCCCCAGUAGCGGCGAGCGAACGGGGAGGAGCCCAGAGCCUGAAUCAGCAUGUGUGUUAGUGGAAGCGUCUGGAAAGGCGCGCGAUACAGGGUGACAGCCCCGUACACAAAAGCGCAUGUGCUGUGAGCUCGAUGAGUAGGGCGGGACACGUGGUAUCCUGUCUGAAUAUGGGGGGACCAUCCUCCAAGGCUAAAUACUCCUGACUGACCGAUAGUGAACCAGUACCGUGAGGGAAAGGCGAAAAGA
RNAcentral lists this ribosomal RNA (347 nucleotides) under Salmonella enterica subsp. enterica. Its description in RNAcentral is "partial 23S ribosomal RNA". It matches the Rfam family "Bacterial large subunit ribosomal RNA", at positions 137 to 522 of the family's 2925-position model. The record is from RNAcentral. Lineage: Bacteria; Pseudomonadati; Pseudomonadota; Gammaproteobacteria; Enterobacterales; Enterobacteriaceae. RNAcentral also lists the same sequence under 1 other name.